GUCUACGUGCUGAAAUCGGUAGCCAGAACAAACUUAAGAUUUGUCGUUGAAAAACGUAAGAGUUCGAAUCUCUUCGUAGAUA
Molecule: transfer RNA, 82 nt
Filed under: Pneumocystis oryctolagi
Lineage: Eukaryota; Fungi; Ascomycota; Pneumocystomycetes; Pneumocystales; Pneumocystaceae
Description: tRNA-Leu
Rfam family: tRNA
About the family: Transfer RNA (tRNA) molecules are approximately 80 nucleotides in length.
Source: RNAcentral